GCAGAACGCGAAGAACCUUACCAGGACUUGACAUCCUUCCUAAACCCUUUGUAAUGAAGGGCUCGGUUCGGCCGGGGGAAGAGACAGGUGCUGCAUGGCUGCCGUCAGCUCGUGUCGUGAGAUGUUGGGUUAAGUCCCGCAACGAGCGCAACCCUCACCUUUAGUUACCAGCGGGUUAUGCCGGGGACUCUAAAGGAACUGCCUAUGACAAGUAGGAGGAAGGCGGGGAUGACGUCAAGUCAGCACGGCCCUUACGUCCUGGGCCACACACGUGCUACAAUGGUGGUGACAAUGGGCUGCAACCGCGCGAGCGGAAGCUAAUCUCAAAAAACCAUCUCAGUUCGGAUUGCUCUCUGCAACUCGAGAGCAUGAAGCUGGAAUCGCUAGUAAUCGCAUAUCAGCAGGAUGCGGUGAAUACGUUCCCGGGUCUUGUACACACCG
RNAcentral lists this ribosomal RNA (441 nucleotides) under uncultured bacterium. RNAcentral's name for it is "bacterial SSU rRNA". It matches the Rfam family "Bacterial small subunit ribosomal RNA", at positions 954 to 1392 of the family's 1533-position model. The record is from RNAcentral.